This 328-nucleotide ribosomal RNA is filed under the name uncultured eukaryote. RNAcentral describes it as "partial 18S ribosomal RNA". It matches the Rfam family "Eukaryotic small subunit ribosomal RNA", at positions 1470 to 1796 of the family's 1831-position model. The record is from RNAcentral.
CCCUUAGAUGUCCUGGGCCGCACGCGCGUUACACUGAUGCAUUCAACGAGCUUAUAACCUUGGCCGAGAGGUCUGGGCAAUCUUGUUAACGUGCAUCGUGAUAGGGAUAGAUUAUUGAAAUUAUUAAUCUUGAACGAGGAAUUCCUAGUAAACGCAGAUCAUCAAUCUGCAUUGAUUACGUCCCUGCCCUUUGUACACACCGCCCGUCGCACCUACCGAUUGGAUGGUCCGGUGAAGCCUCGGGAUUGUGGUUCUUGCCGCUUUAUUGUGGCGUGACCGCGAGAACUUGUCUAAACCUUAUCAUCUAGAGGAAGGUGAAGUCGUAACA